GCAUAUCCCAUCGGUGAAACAGGGUUCGGUGUGUGUACGAAUCCGGCCGGUAUUGUUUGGGAGUGCCGGUUGCUUUUGGUUAUCAUUCUACGACAGUUCAUUGGACAGGAACCAUGGCCCAGAAAGAAAUGCCAAUGUGUUUACUGCUUCCAUGUUUCAUCGUUUCUUCUUCCAUAAAAGGAAAAUAUGGUAGUAUAACCUUGCUUGUGGCACCAGCAAUUCUCGGACAAAACAUGAGGAAAUCAAUAAGCGUGCAGAUGAAUAUUGGACAUUGCCCGGAGAAUAAGCUUAAAAGAAUAAUGAGCGGACAUAUGCCAGUUUGGGCAUGGACCAAAUGGAG
This is a long non-coding RNA of Phragmites australis (common reed), 340 nucleotides long. RefSeq lists it as uncharacterized. The record is from RefSeq and is a predicted model, not a curated record. The transcript is spliced from 3 exons. Lineage: Eukaryota; Viridiplantae; Streptophyta; Magnoliopsida; Poales; Poaceae.